CUUGGAGAGACAGCUUUACGUCCCGGAAUACAGAAAUCAUGGGUCUGAGGAUGGCGUGCUGCACAGCCAAUGCCAGUCUCAGGUGGGGUGCAGCCUACGGAGAGUAGGGGUCCCUGCAUGGUCUGCAUCACCAGAGGCGGUGCAAUCCACAGACGGGACAGCAUGCCAGGCUGUACUGCUAAGGGCAAUCUCGUGGGGGUGGGGGUGCAAUCUGCAAAUAUGACAGGUCACAGUUGAUAAUGCUGUAGCCAUUUAGAGCACUCUCAUAUAGCAUUGUGGCCAGAGGAGACAACAGCCCUACCUUGCAGGGCUACUGUGCCAGCCCAGGAGCAUUCUCAUAUGAUAGUGAAGAUCAUAUGAGCAGCAGGUUCCAUCAUGCCUUUCUCUCUGUUGACUGUUGUGCUUUCACAUGUUCAAUGGGUCUGCCCAGGAACUAGCAGUCUCCAUUUUCAUGAGCACUUUCAUCACAGAAAUGUAGGGCUGGAAGGGACCUCAAGAGGUCAUCGAGCCUGGUCACGCACACUGAGGCAGGGUGGAAUCCAAUCUAAACCAUACCUUGUGCUUCUGCCACUGGGUAGCCUGAUGACAUGGCCAAACCACCGCAGCCUUGUGGGUGUGCAUAGUAUAGUUAUACCUGGUGUACACCUCCGUCAUUUCUCACCCUGGCUCCCUACACACCCGUGCCAAACAACCCCCUCUUUUGAACCCCCCUUCCAUGUCUUAUUUCCAUAACUCCUUAUGCCUCCCAGUACCCUGCCACCCCCUUUGAUAUACUUAGUACACUACAGCUUCCUCCAAUACCACCUUGUCUGUCUGCACCACCACCUCCUUUUCUCCUUCCUCCCCCAAGGCCCCUCAGUUCACAGACUGGGCCUCGUGCACCCAAGUCCAUAUCCCUCCCAACCCACCAUCCCUUCAUCUAUAGCCUUCUGUCUUGAAUAAUUUCCUUAUCUCAUAGUCCCCAGAUGAACCCCCAUUUCUGGCUCAACCCAACAGUUGCUGUAACAUCCAGCUGUACUCAGCAGCAAGUCUGUGUUUUAUAAAUGUGUACGUUGAUAGCUUAAACAUUGCUCUUUGUAAACAGUUUUCAAAACUCCAUAACUUUUCAGAAAAGCUCUAUUGUGGGAUAAGAUAUUGCAUGUGACAUUUUGGGAAGAUCAAUUUCUUAUGAGGAAACUGAAGAGGGAGGAGGAAAUGUUGUAUUUUUUUAAAAAAAUCCAAGCUCAAAGAACCUCAUUAAGCUCCACUGAAAUCAACUGGAGUCUUUUGAUUGACUUCAGUUGGCACAAGAUCAGGUACAUAACAGGAAGUUAACUUCAUUCUUAAGUAGCUACACUUACUUUCAUGUUUUUUUCAUUGUAGGAUAUCUAAUCACCUACUUUGAGGUUAAUGUUUACUCUCAGACUGGAAACUAUGCCUUGAGUGAGAGGUAUUAAGAACGUUUUUGGGAGGUGGGGGGAGCAGCAGUUCCUUUCCCCACACUUUAAAUACUGCUGAGGCUUGAAAAUUUUUUUUUAAUUAAAAUUAGGGUUCUGUAACAAUCUGAGUCAAUAAAGGACAUAUAUGUACUGAUAUGCAGGUGACACUUGGAACCCAUUGAGGGCCAAAGUAUGACUUACCUCUACAUUAAGAUCCAAAUAUACAUUUGAAAUGACAACUCUGCAUGAGCUCCCUGUUAUGGUAGCCUCAACUGACAGAGUGAUAGUGCUGUGUAGGGAGUCUUGCAUUGUUGUCACCCACCAGUGUCAUCCAUUUUACAUUAGUGAAGGAAGAUAUGUAUAAAAUUACUGUAAUAAUCAAAAAACCUCCUUAUACAUGUGUAAUUGUUUAUUAAGGUCUCAGCUGAUCUCUUUAAAAAAAUUUAUUCUCCCUACUCUGGAAUUUCCAAGAUACUCCAGCAGGAACUGAUCCCACUCUGGCCAAAAAUUCCAUUCCCCUACUGUCAUGCACCUGGCUGGCAUUGGAUUGGCUACUGCCCUCACAGAGAGGAAACUGUAUUUCAAUGUUGAGUGGUAGCCGUGUCAGUCUGUAUCAGCAAAAAGAACAAGGAGUACUUGUGGCACCUUAGAGACUAACAAAUUUAUUUUCUCUAAGGUGCCACAAGUACUCCUCGUUCUUUUUGUAUUUCAGUGGUGGUAGAAGCAAGUACUUUAUGAACUUUCAGGAUGGACGACAGUAAAUUAAAAAAUAAAUAUUUUCAGUACCCAAAACAGGCUACAGGUUGGUUUGAGAUCCUUCCACUUUAUGGAGAGUGAGUUAUGAAAGAGAGUGCUUAGUUUAGAAAUUCAAAUUUAUUUACAAAUGUUCACUGAAAAAAAAUCUAUCGUUCUAAAUAAACUCGACUUCUGUAAGAUCCUGCAACGGAAGAUCACCAAACUCAUUCACAUGCUGUUUUGCAAAUUUAUCCCUGUAUAAAAAAAUUAUUCUACCUGGAGUCAAUGACAGAGGAAGAGGUGAUAAACUAAAAGUAAACUGUUCUAAAAACCAUAUAACUACCAGGUUUCUCCAGUCCUCUUUUCUUCCCCACUUUAAAAAUAAGCUAAAAGAAUUUGGGUCACACUCUAGCAAAUGGGAAAAGCUAAACAGAAGUUUGGCUUCUCUAAAAAGGUACACAAGAAUCAGUCUUCUUGAAUUCAAACUUACUACAUAACACCAAGCCUGAUCCUGCAGUCUUGAGUCCAGACAAGAUCUAUACUGAAUUAGGAAUUUUGCCUGAGUAAGGACUGCAGUGUUUCACUUUGAAUAACAGAGUAC
This is a long non-coding RNA of Gopherus evgoodei (Goodes thornscrub tortoise), 2754 nucleotides long. RefSeq lists it as uncharacterized. The record is from RefSeq and is a predicted model, not a curated record. Lineage: Eukaryota; Metazoa; Chordata; Testudines; Testudinidae. The transcript is spliced from 2 exons.